UUGGGUCUAAAGCGUCCGUAGCCGGCCGGAAAAGUUCUCCGUUAAAUCCAACGAUCCAAUCGUUGGGCCGCGGGGAAUACUCUUCGGCUUGGGGGCGAGGGAGGUCGGCGGUAGUCUCGGGGUAGGGGCGAAAUCCUAUAAUCCCGAGAGGACCACCAGUGGCGAAGGCGGCCGACUAAAGCGCGCCCGACGGUGAGGGACGAAAGCUGGGGGAGCGAACGGGAUUAGAUACCCCGGUAGUCCCAGCUGUAAACGAUGCAGGCUAGGUGUUGGGACGGCCACGAGCUGUCCCAGUGCCGCAGGGAAGCCAUUAAUCCUGCCACCUGGGGAGUACGGUCGCAAGGCUGAAUUCUCUUUGAACAAUCGCUCGAGAGACAG
This 378-nucleotide ribosomal RNA is filed under the name uncultured crenarchaeote. RNAcentral describes it as "bacterial SSU rRNA". It matches the Rfam family "Archaeal small subunit ribosomal RNA", at positions 504 to 879 of the family's 1478-position model. Lineage: Archaea; Thermoproteati; Thermoproteota. The record is from RNAcentral.